Molecule: ribosomal RNA, 489 nt
Filed under: uncultured bacterium
Lineage: Bacteria
Description: partial 16S ribosomal RNA
Rfam family: Bacterial small subunit ribosomal RNA
Source: RNAcentral
GAUGAACGCUGGCGGCGUGCCUAACACAUGCAAGUCGAGCGGAGAGAGACGAGUAUUCGUACAAAUCUCUCUUAGCGGCGGACGGGUGAGUAACACGUGAGUAACCUGCCUUCUUCUGGGGAAUAACACAGAGAAAUUUGUGCUAAUACCGCAUAAAGUAACGACUGGGCAUCCAGAUGUGACCAAAGGAGCAAUCCGGAGGAAGAUGGACUCGCGUCCGAUUGGGUAGUUGGUGAGGUAACGGCCAACCAAGCCUACGAUCGGUAGCGCAACUGAGCGGUUGAUCGGCCACAUUGGGACUGAGACACGGCCCAGCAUCCUACGGGAGGCAGCAUUGGGGAAUAUUGGGCAAUGGGGGAAACCCUGACCCAGCAACGCCGCGUGAAGGACGAAGGCCUUCGGGUUGUAAACUUCUUUGAUCAGGGACGAAACAAAUGACGGUACCUGAGGAACAAGCCACGGCUAACUACGUGCCAGCCGCCGCCGUAA